Molecule: ribosomal RNA, 262 nt
Filed under: uncultured prokaryote
Description: partial 16S ribosomal RNA
Rfam family: Bacterial small subunit ribosomal RNA
Source: RNAcentral
UACGUAGGGUGCGAGCGUUGUCCGGAAUUACUGGGCGUAAAGAGCUCGUAGGUGGUUUGUCACGUCGUCUGUGAAAUUCCGGGGCUUAACUUCGGGCGUGCAGGCGAUACGGGCAAUACUUGAGUGCUGUAGGGGAGACUGGAAUUCCUGGUGUAGCGGUGAAAUGCGCAGAUAUCAGGAGGAACACCAAUGGCGAAGGCAGGUCUCUGGGCAGUUACUGACGCUGAGGAGCGAAAGCAUGGGUAGCGAACAGGAUUAGAUA